GGAGAGAUGUCCGAGCGGUUUAUGGUGACGGUCUUGAAAACCGUUGUGCGAAAGCACCGGGGGUUCGAAUCCCUCUCUCUCCGCCA
RNAcentral lists this transfer RNA (86 nucleotides) under Oscillospiraceae bacterium. RNAcentral's name for it is "tRNA-Ser". It matches the Rfam family "tRNA". Rfam says of the family: Transfer RNA (tRNA) molecules are approximately 80 nucleotides in length. Their secondary structure includes four short double-helical elements and three loops (D, anti-codon, and T loops). Lineage: Bacteria; Bacillati; Bacillota; Clostridia; Eubacteriales; Oscillospiraceae. The record is from RNAcentral.